This is a long non-coding RNA of Esox lucius (northern pike), 1427 nucleotides long. Lineage: Eukaryota; Metazoa; Chordata; Actinopteri; Esociformes; Esocidae. The record is from Ensembl.
CAAAGAUCAAAAUACAUUUGUGUUACCAUUUUGCUUUAUCGCAACUGCUUUGUAUUUACUAUAAAAUAGCUAUGAAGAACUGCUGUAUGUAUUGGAAUAGCAAACUGUGCUGCAAAUGUAUUUUACUUAGUAAUCCUUGCUUUAAAAAGUCAUACAUGCGGACAUCUGUGUGAGAUGGGUGAGGGCAGGGUGUGGGAUUAUCCCCGAUUUUGGAUUUUAAACUGUAAAAUAGAAAAAACAGACUUUUCUCUGUUAUCAUUGACCUAGACAUUUUGUACAGAUUUUUUUCUUCGUUGUGUUAAGCUGUUUUUGAUACUUCCUUUUGAUGGUCCGACCUCUGCCUUCUGUGGCUAUAUAGUUAAAAUGACUGCUCAGAGAAAGGGCAGACAGGUAUAUUUCCUCUACAAGACAGAGGUAUCUUGCAUGACUAAUUCCAUGGUCACAGAGAUGGGAAAUAAUGGUUAAGUGGUCAGUAAUAAUAUAUGAGUGUAUCAAUCCAAUGAUAUUUUAUAUGAAACAAAUAGGACAAAAAAAAGAAAAUAUGCAGUGCCAAGAUGUAAAAAAAAAUAUUUGUUAAAUGCUUUGUUUUUAUUCCAGAGGAAUCAAUUCAUUUAUACAUAUAUCACCAGAGAUGUCAUCGUCAUCAUCAGUUCAUUACCAUUAGGCACAAUGCCUAGCGCUUUUCAGUUGUCCUCUAAAUAUCUAUAUUUCUUAUCUCAACUGUUUGGAAAUUUGUUAAUUUUUUGAUGAUAAGUACAUGUAAAGCCAAGCACAGCAGGUAGCCAUCUUAAGUGGAGCACAAAGGUUAAAAGUCAGAUGUGAAUCAAACUGAACUCAUACUUGUUACAUGAUUGUUAACCGUGAGAUAUCAACCUGAAUCGAGUAACCUUCUGACCUUGCUGUGCUCCUUGUAGGCGGCAUCAGUUUCCCCCUCAAGACACUUGCGGCCAUGCUAAUUUGCCACGAAUCCAUCAGUCAUCCACCCCACUCUCAUUCACCACUGGGUUUUACCGUCACCCUCUCCACCCAUGCUUCUGGCAGAGGGAGCGAGGGAUGGAGGGAGGGAGGGAGGGAUGGACUGAGGGAGGGACAGCAGAGCAGCUGUCACGGUGCUUUGUUUCAGCAGCUAGGUUCGUUUUCUGUUGAAGCGGUAGUCUGUAGGUUUCUGUUCAUGAACUAAAUGAUCAUCACCGCCAUGAUCACGCUGUAGUGUCCUCAUCAUUCCUGGUCUAGCUGAAGCGGACUAUUCUGUUGUACGGUCAGUCUCCAUAACUGACGUGAGCAUUCUGAAAAUGCAAUAAAAUGCUGGUUGUUCAUGUGCGUUUCCUGAAGUCAUUUGUUACUUGGUUUAAAUUGCAGGGAUCUGGUUACGAAAACCACUGGAAUUGUAUCUGUCUGAGUCAACCAAGAUGGGACAACAAAAGGCC